This 462-nucleotide ribosomal RNA is filed under the name uncultured bacterium. Its description in RNAcentral is "partial 16S ribosomal RNA". It matches the Rfam family "Bacterial small subunit ribosomal RNA", at positions 28 to 506 of the family's 1533-position model. The record is from RNAcentral.
GACGAACGCUGGCGGCGUGCUUAACACAUGCAAGUCGAACGGUGAACCUCUUCGGAGGGGAUCAGUGGCGAACGGGUGAGUAACACGUGGGCAACCUGCCCCCGGCUCUGGGAUAACUCCAAGAAAUUGGGGCUAAUACCGGAUGUUCACCGCUUCCCGCAUGGGUGGUGGUGGAAAGGGUUUCCGGCUGGGGAUGGGCCCGCGGCCUAUCAGCUUGUUGGUGGGGUAGUGGCCUACCAAGGCGACGACGGGUAGCCGGCCUGAGAGGGUGACCGGCCACACUGGGACUGAGACACGGCCCAGACUCCUACGGGAGGCAGCAGUGGGGAAUAUUGCGCAAUGGGCGGAAGCCUGACGCAGCGACGCCGCGUGGGGGAUGACGGCCUUCGGGUUGUAAACCUCUUUCAGCAGGGACGAAGCGCAAGUGACGGUACCUGCAGAAGAAACACCGGCCAACUACGU